Molecule: ribosomal RNA, 301 nt
Filed under: uncultured bacterium
Lineage: Bacteria
Description: partial 16S ribosomal RNA
Rfam family: Bacterial small subunit ribosomal RNA
Source: RNAcentral
CAGCCGCCACGGGAAUACGUAGGGCGCAAGCGUUGUCCGGAAUUAUUGGGCGUAAAGAGCUCGUAGGCGGUCUGUCGCGUCUGGUGUGAAAUCCCGAGGCUCAACCUCGGGCUUGCAUCGGGUACGGGCAGACUAGAGUGCGGUAGGGGAGACUGGAAUUCCUGGUGUAGCGGUGGAAUGCGCAGAUAUCAGGAGGAACACCGAUGGCGAAGGCAGGUCUCUGGGCCGCAACUGACGCUGAGGAGCGAAAGCAUGGGGAGCGAACAGGAUUAGAUACCCCUGUAGUCCCUGUCUCUUAUAC